This 235-nucleotide ribosomal RNA is filed under the name uncultured bacterium. RNAcentral describes it as "partial 16S ribosomal RNA". It matches the Rfam family "Bacterial small subunit ribosomal RNA", at positions 15 to 240 of the family's 1533-position model. The record is from RNAcentral.
GAUCCUGGCUCAGGACGAACGCUGGCGGCGUGCCUAAUACAUGCAAGUAGAACGCUGAAGAGAGGAGCUUGCUCUUCUUGGAUGAGUUGCGAACGGGUGAGUAACGCGUAGGUAACCUGCCUUGUAGCGGGGGAUAACUAUUGGAAACGAUAGCUAAUACCGCAUAACAAUGGGUGACACAUGUCAUUUAUUUGAAAGGGGCAAUUGCUCCACUACAAGAUGGACCUGCGUUGUA